GUGGAGUGGGGGGGGAACCUGCCUUCGUGCCCCUUUUGGGGGGGAGAUUAGUCGACGGCGAUAGGCGGCCUCUCAUGUCGCAGUACCUCAUGGAUGCUGCUGGAAGCGUACACCAUCUUACUAACAAGAAAGUAAGAAAGGCAAACACUGCUCCUGCCAGCAAUUUUCCAUUGCCUAAAGACAAACAUAUGAAAACCUGCUGAUGUCAGCUCUGAUCGUCUUGCCACCAACCAAAUGAUCUUCCUGAAAGUCAUCAAUCUUUUUUCAAAAUAUCCAACUUAAAUAAAAGUAAUUUAUAGGAAAAAUUGUGCCUUAACAUUGUUUCAGAGAAUUCUGACAGCAUUUUGGAAGAUCCCUCAAGAUGACUGACAAUUCUAUAUUCCAUACCAUAGCUCUAAAAGAUAUUGAAUAUUAGAAAAUAUUGUAGUAACAAUAUGAGAACAACUUUAUUCUGACAUUAUUAUACCAUUAUUUUUUCACUGUUUUCAUUUAAAAGAAAAAAAAUAUUACUUUUUGAUUUAUAUAUUUAUCUUAUUCUAUUUUUGCUAGAAAAGCACUCACAAUGUAAAGGCAGAUCAUAAUUAUAGCUGUGCUAACACAAAACUUUUAUUCAUGUCAUGUUAACCAAAGUUCACUCAACCCAAUUUUCUGGUUUGUAUGGUCCCCUAAAUCAUAGAGUUACCAUACAGGCUAUGUUUGAAGAAGACACAACACACUAAAAUGCAUCUUGCAGGUGUCAAAUUUUUGAGUGCAAUUAAAAGUGGUGUUGAAAGAAAAGUGCUCUAUGUUAAUUUGCCACAGAUAAGGAGAAGAAAUGAUUGCUUUUGAAUGAGAUAUGGAAUUUCAUAUUCCAGCUGAAUUUAAUAUAUCUACUGCAACAGUGGAGGUGAAAUAGUCUAGAAACGUCUGUUUAAGCCUUCACAUACUUCAGUUUUGCAUUUAUGAAGGGAAAUAGCACUUAUAAAUUUGGCAUUUAUAUAUAUCAAAUGUAUGUAGGUAAAGCUGUUGUACAGUCAGAUGAAAGGGGUUCUGAGCAACAUGCGUUCUGCACUUUUCAUUCCUUCCUUCCUUUCAGUCUCAGGCCAGCAGAGUACUAGUAUUAGUUUCACUGAGAAAGAUUAUAAUAAAGCUCAAAAACUGAUAACAUUUGCCAGUUCUAGGCAAAUGCUUUUCCAGAGGUUGGAUUUUUAACAGGAAGUGCCAACGAAGUUGAGUUCUCUUAUAGACAAAAUAUGGGGUUAACCAUGAGCUACAGGAACAGUGUGCAUCCUAAGCAAUGUUUGACAGUUUGCAAGAACCUCUGCUUCAGGAAAGCUUAGAAGAUGUGACAGAUCUUUUCACUGAACAAACAAUUCCCUAGAAAACAGAGAGCCAUUAAUUCAGUCAGAUACAUGACUUCCACCCUGAUGUCUUGAUCAUCUUUAAAAGAAAUUGGCUAUUCUUCCAGGUGUUGGAUAAAGUAGUGAUAGAGCCCAUUCGUUACAUUUUAUGAUACACAGAAUGUGGUUUUUCUGGUUGCAAAUUUUUCCUUUCUUAUUGUUUCCUAUCUUUUUAAUAUCCAGGUUUGUUCUGGAGUUGGUUGCCAUGUAAUUAAAUUGUAAUAAAAAUAAAAUCAAUAAGAAGAGUG
Non-coding RNA from Pantherophis guttatus, 1627 nucleotides. The record is from RefSeq and is a predicted model, not a curated record. Lineage: Eukaryota; Metazoa; Chordata; Lepidosauria; Squamata; Colubridae.